UUGGGGGGUGUGCCGGGCAGCAGGGGGCGGCCCCGUAAGUGGGGUUUUGUGCGUCCCCUGGCCUCGGCGGGCGGUUGGAGGGACCCCCUGUAAUCAGGCGGGUAUCCCUGGCCCCGGCCUUUCAGAGGCGUGGGGCCAGGAGUCAUGGGGCCGGGCGUGUGCCCUCCCCGUCCUCGGGGCUGGGCUCGCGGGCCCUGGGGCCACGCGGCUUUAGGCCGUGGGCUCUACUGCCUGACCCUAGAGUCUGGUUCCUGUUGCCUUGGGGGAAGGCCGAGCUCCGUGGCUCCCUGGGUGUGGACCGGCCUGUAAGCAGGCUGCGGGUCUGGGAGCCUUUGUGCUCCCUUCAGCUGGCAGCCUGCCUGGGGCGCCCGCCCCGUUAGCGGGGAGCGCCCCGGAACUGGAGAAAAGGAGCCUCCAUAGGCCCUGCGGGCCAGAGCCGCCCUGUAAGUCGGGGCCAGUGCUCUGGAGUCCCGGGCACUUUGCAGUCCAGGCAGCGGCUUGAGCCCCCUGUAAGCAGGGCUGCAGCCUCUUGGCCGCUGCUUUGCAUGCCCAGCUUCAUUUGCCCAGAGGGCCCGGCUCCCAGCGCGGCGUGGGACUGCGCCGGACGUCGCCAUGAAGCCCUGGGACGGCGAGGCAAGAUCGAGCCGCAGGAGCGGCGUCUGCGUGGUCAAGAGCGGAACGGCGAGGCAAGAGCAAGCUUCAGCAUUGGCUUCUUUGAGCUCAGGAGUGGAACAGCGAGAAGCCGUGGGACCACGAGGCAAGAGCGGCAGUGUCUUCGAGCUCAAGUGUGGAACGGCGCGGCAAGAGCGAGCUUGGAGCUGAAGAGGAGCACAAAGGGCCCUCUGGGCAAAGGGCUUCUCCAGGCCAGGGCACCUUCAGGGUGCCGCGGCCGGCUUUGCGCUGGGCGACCUCCCUGCGUGCAGGGCUGGUCUUUGCUGUGGUUGGCCUUUUGCCGUUGUGCUCCUUUGGCUGCCCGGAGAGAGGGGCAACCCUGUAAGGAGGGUGAGAGCCCCUGUCUCCGCACCUGAGGGGGGGAAACGGAGCUCGCCCGGCCCCCAGCCCAGCUCCCCUGUAAGCAGGGUAGGGCAGGGCUUUUCCCCAGCCCCGGCAGCUUUCUGCCUGCCGCUGCCCCCGGCCCAGCGUGACCCCCUGUACUCGGGGCGUGUCACAGCCUGUUUUCCUUUUCCAGCCCUGAAGCGCCUCAGGCCCUGUGGCCUCCUCUGAGACCUGCACGGGGCAGGUCUGAUGCUUUCUCGUCCCGCUCUGCAUUAGGAAUGGCUCCCUAGAGCAGGUUGGCUGCACAGAACUUGCUCCCUCUUCUGGGACUGUCUUCCCCUCCCCUGUGUUCCCCUUCCCUGUGUUCCCCUAAGUUGGUGUGAGUGAGGAAGCGUGCUUGUGCUUUAGCCCCGCCUUUAGAAAUAGA
Passer domesticus (house sparrow) is the source of this 1423-nucleotide long non-coding RNA. RefSeq lists it as uncharacterized. Lineage: Eukaryota; Metazoa; Chordata; Aves; Passeriformes; Passeridae. The record is from RefSeq and is a predicted model, not a curated record. The transcript is spliced from 3 exons.